This 305-nucleotide ribosomal RNA is filed under the name uncultured bacterium. RNAcentral describes it as "bacterial SSU rRNA". It matches the Rfam family "Bacterial small subunit ribosomal RNA", at positions 333 to 630 of the family's 1533-position model. The record is from RNAcentral.
UGGUGCCUACGGGACGCAGCAGUAGGGAAUCUUCCACAAUGGGCGAAAGCCUGAUGGAACAACGCCGCGUGGGUGAAGAAGGUCUUCGGAUCGUAAAACCCUGUUGUUAGAGAAGAAAGUGCGUGAGAGUAACUGUUCACGUUUCGACGGUAUCUAACCAGAAAGCCACGGCUAACUACGUGCCAGCAGCCGCGGUAAUACGUAGGGAGCAAGCGUUAUCCGGAUUUACUGGGUGUAAAGGGCGUGUAGGCGGGCAUGUAAGCCAGAAGUGAAAUCUGGGGGCUUAACCCCCAAACUGCUUUUGG